RNAcentral lists this unclassified non-coding RNA (520 nucleotides) under uncultured Glomus. RNAcentral describes it as "SSU rRNA". It matches the Rfam family "Eukaryotic small subunit ribosomal RNA", at positions 569 to 1094 of the family's 1831-position model. The record is from RNAcentral. Lineage: Eukaryota; Fungi; Glomeromycota; Glomeromycetes; Glomerales; Glomeraceae.
AGCAGCCGCGGUAAUUCCAGCUCCAAUAGCGUAUAUUAAAGUUGUUGCAGUUAAAAGCUCGUAGUUGAAUUUCGGGAUCAAUAUGUCGGUCGUGCCUUGGUACGUACUGGUAUCAUUGGUCUCUCCUUUCUGACGAACCAUGAUGUCAUUAAUUUGGUGUUAUGGGAAGUUAGGACUGUUACUUUGAAAAAUUAGAGUGUUUAAAGCAGGCUUUAGCUUGAAUACAUUAGCAUGGAAUAAUGAAAUAGGACGUUCGAACCUAUUUUGUUGGUUUCUAGGAUCAACGUAAUGAUUAAUAGGGAUAGUUGGGGGCAUUAGUAUUCAAUUGUCAGAGGUGAAAUUCUUGGAUUUAUUGAAGACUAACUACUGCGAAAGCAUUUGCCAGGAUGUUUUCAUUAAUCAAGAACGAAAGUUAGGGGAUCGAAGACGAUCAGAUACCGUCGUAGUCUUAACCAUAAACUAUGCCGACUAGGGAUCGGAUGAUGUUAAUUUUUAAUGUACUCAUUCGGCGCCUUACGGG